GUUCAGCAAAGUAAGAUCUACAAAUAAGUCAACAUGACCAAAAUGGUCAGUUGACCACUUUAGGAGUUAUUGCCCUUUAUAGUCAAUUUUUAACCAUUUUUCGUAAAUCUUAGUAAUCUUUUAGAAAAAAUCUUCUCCUCUGAAACUACUGGGCCAAAUUUAACCAAACUUGGCCAUAAUCAUCAUUGGGGUAUUUAGUUUAAAAAAUGUGUCCGGUGACCCGCCCAACCAACCAAGAUGGCCACCAUGGCUAAAAAUAGAACAUAGGGGUAAAAUGCAGUUUUUGGCUUAUAACUCAAAAACAAAGCAUUUAGAGCAAAUCUGACAUGGGGGUAAAAUUGUUCAUCAGGUCAAGUUCUAUCUGCCCUGACAUUUUCAGAUGAAUCGGACAUUUCGU
This 397-nucleotide long non-coding RNA is filed under the name Mytilus galloprovincialis (Mediterranean mussel). The record is from RNAcentral. Lineage: Eukaryota; Metazoa; Mollusca; Bivalvia; Mytilida; Mytilidae.